ACUCAAAGGAAUUGACGGGGACCCGCACAAGCGGUGGAUGAUGUGGUUUAAUUCGAUGCUACGCGAAGAACCUUACCAAGGCUUGACAUCCUAGGAACCUCCUGGAAACAGGAGGGUGCCCUCGGGAGCCUAGUGACAGGUGCUGCAUGGCCGUCGUCAGCUCGUGUCGUGAGAUGUUGGGUUAAGUCCCGCAACGAGCGCAACCCUUGUCGUGUGUUGAAUUUUUCACGCGAGACUGCCCGGGCCAACCGGGAGGAAGGUGGGGAUGACGUCAGGUCAGCAUGGCCCUUACGCCUUGGGCUACACACGUCAUACAAUGGCCGGUACAACGAGUUGCCAACCCGCGAGGGGGAGCUAAUCUCAGCAAAACCGGUCUCAGUUCGGAUUGGAGGCUGCAACUCGCCUCCAUGAAGCUGGAAUCGCUAGUAAACGUGGGUCAGCAUACCACGUUGAAUACGUUCCCGGGUCUUGUACACACCGCCCGU
RNAcentral lists this ribosomal RNA (485 nucleotides) under uncultured bacterium. RNAcentral's name for it is "partial 16S ribosomal RNA". It matches the Rfam family "Bacterial small subunit ribosomal RNA", at positions 899 to 1397 of the family's 1533-position model. The record is from RNAcentral.